This 663-nucleotide unclassified non-coding RNA is filed under the name Hevea brasiliensis (rubber tree). Lineage: Eukaryota; Viridiplantae; Streptophyta; Magnoliopsida; Malpighiales; Euphorbiaceae. The record is from RNAcentral.
AUGAGCCUGUGUUGAUGAGUGCAUCAGCAGACAACUCAAUUAAAAUGUGGAUUUUUGACACAAGUGAUGGAGAUCCUCGCCUAUUGCGCUUUCGAAGUGGACACAGUGCUCCUCCCCAUUGCAUAAGGUUCUAUGCAAAUGGGAGACACAUUCUAUCUGCUGGUCAGGAUCGUGCCUUCCGUCUUUUCUCCAUCAUCCAGGAUCAGCAAAGUCGAGAGCUUUCCCAGCGGCAUGUAUCUAAGCGCGCCAAGAAACUGAGAGUGAAGGAAGAAGAGUUGAAAUUGAACCCUGUUAUUGCAUUUGAUUGUGCUGAAAUUAGGGAGCGGGAUUCGUGCAAUGUGGUUACAUGUCAUAUGGAUACUGCACAGGCGUAUGUAUGGAGGCCUCAGAAUUUUGUUCUUGGAGAGCAUAUCCUGAAGCCUUGCCCAGACAAUCCAACACCUGUUAAGGCCUGUGCCAUUAGUGCAUGCGGCAAUUUUGCUGUACUAGGGACAGCAGGUGGUUGGAUAGAGAGGUUCAAUCUUCAAUCAGGGAUCAGCCGAGGCAGUUACCUAGAUAUGUCAGAAAGAAGAAGCUGUGCCCAUGAGGGGGAAGUGGUUGGAGUUGCUUGUGAUUCAACAAAUACCCUGAUGAUAAGUGCAGGAUACCAUGGAGAUGUAAAGG